CGCGUGAGUGAAGAAGGCUUCGGGUUGUAAAGCUCUUUCGGCCGGAACGAAAUCGCGUACGUGAAUAACGUGCGUGGAUGACGGUACUGGAAGAAGAAGCACCGGCUAACUACGUGCCAGCAGCCGCGGUAAUACGUAGGGUGCGAGCGUUAAUCGGAAUUACUGGGCGUAAAGCGUGCGCAGGCGGUUCUGUAAGUCAGAUGUGAAAUCCCCGGGCUUAACCUGGGAACUGCGUUUGAAACUACGGAGCUAGAGUACGGCAGAGGGGGGUGGAAUUCCACGUGUAGCAGUGAAAUGCGUAGAUAUGUGGAGGAACACCGAUGGCGAAGCAGCCCCCUGGGCCGAUACUGACGCUCAGGCACGAAAGCGUGGGGACAAACAGGAUUAGAUCCCUGGUAGUCCACGCCCUAAACUAUGUCAACUAGUUGUCGGGGAAG
This 437-nucleotide ribosomal RNA is filed under the name uncultured bacterium. Its description in RNAcentral is "bacterial SSU rRNA". It matches the Rfam family "Bacterial small subunit ribosomal RNA", at positions 398 to 831 of the family's 1533-position model. The record is from RNAcentral.